RNAcentral lists this ribosomal RNA (84 nucleotides) under Ulva pertusa. Its description in RNAcentral is "partial 5.8S ribosomal RNA". It matches the Rfam family "5.8S ribosomal RNA", at positions 77 to 154 of the family's 154-position model. From Rfam's summary of the family: 5.8S ribosomal RNA (5.8S rRNA) is a component of the large subunit of the eukaryotic ribosome. It is transcribed by RNA polymerase I as part of the 45S precursor that also contains 18S and 28S rRNA. Functionally, it is thought that 5.8S rRNA may be involved in ribosome translocation. The record is from RNAcentral. Lineage: Eukaryota; Viridiplantae; Chlorophyta; Ulvophyceae; Ulvales; Ulvaceae.
GAAUUCCGUGAGUCAUCGAAUCUUUGAACGCACAUUGCCGGUCGAGUCUUCGGAUGAGACCACAUCUGCCUCAGCGUCGGAAUA